UGGAUAAAGAUUUAGUUUUUC
This 21-nucleotide non-coding RNA is filed under the name Caenorhabditis elegans. Lineage: Eukaryota; Metazoa; Nematoda; Chromadorea; Rhabditida; Rhabditidae. The record is from RNAcentral.